GUACGGUCUGGAUUGGCUUCCUCCUUUUCACUUAUUUUAAUAUUUUCAGAGAAACCAUCUUCACCGUAAGGAAAGAUCAAAGGAUAUUGUAAUGGAAUAAAGGAAGUAUGUGUCUCAUGAAGUCUUUCCAAAUGACCUGAUUCCUUUCUAAUGAUAAUAUCUCUUCCAUAUUCUAUACUGUCAGUAUCUCCGACAAUUAGAGCUGCCACCUCAUCAACUUCUGGUAUGUUGUGCAUCCUAGCAUCCUUUGAACGAUUUCUCGUCAACCUCAAACAAAAAUCAGAUGUUACAUUUUGUUCAACUAAAUCACGAACUUUUCUGAAAUUCUUUGCGAGACGAUUAUGUCUAUCAAUCAUCUGCGUUGCUUGGGAAAUAUUACGUAACAGGGUAGCUUUCUUUUUUUUUUCUUCAUGUUUUGGCCAUGGGAAAUCUGAUGUUAUAUUUUGUUCAACUAAAUCUCCGAUAAUAUCCCUUUACCUUGCUUGGGAAUAUUUACGUAACAGGGUAGCUUUCUUUUUUGUUCCUGUUUUGGCAUUCUUGUAAUUGACUCUUUCAGCUGGGGUUUUGGCACUCCUUGUGCUGAAAUCUCCAGGCUUUCAGUAAUUUAAUCCAUUUUAGUUUCUUAAAAAAAAAAACUAUUUUUGGUAGAAAAAUAAAAAAAUUAAAUUUACCACAACCACAUGGGCCCUGAUUGGGAUUGAGCUUAUGAAAAAUAUCUUUACAAAUAAAUAAGCUUUUAUAUUAACUCAUAAGUUUUUAUUAAUGAAAAUUUUAUCUUCCUAAGUUGUAUUUUCAUAAACUAUUUUAACAAGCUUGUGAAUAAAAAAUAAAAGCGUAUUUAUUUUCAUUAGUUAUUUUGCAUAAGCUCAAUCCAAUCGGCCAAAAGGCUUUCUCCGGUAUUUCCACGCUAUUUCUUUCAUGGAUGGCUUUGAGAUCCGACUUCAAGUCUGGGACUGGGAGAUGCAUGUAACGCCACCUGCGGGCGUAGUUUUGUCUAUUUGAAAUUGUCUUUGGAUAACUCAAAUAUGAGAAAGUAAUGUCGAUAAAUCAUUUUAUAAGAAAUGUACUCAAUUUAAAAGAUUUUACUCCAUGUUAAAGUUUUAUAGUAACUUAAUAAAGGAGGAAACUCUUCUUUCUAAUGAAAACUUGCUGUUCAGAACUCCUCACCAGUUACAAACUUACAACCAACAAAAUUGUAUUGCAAAUAACAUAAAAAACUUUCAUAGUAUGGUUGUCAUAUUCAAUCAGCGCUCCUUGAAUGUGCAAUAUUCUUUGGCGAUCUCAUCCAGAAGUAUACUAAGGAUAUGCUUUUCUGUAUCCCUUAUAACAUCAUAUUUUUCGAUAAAUGCAGAUGUCUCAUCAUUCCAACCUAAAUCCCACAUGCAAUCUAUGUCAGGCCAUUUUUCAUAGAUAUCAUGCUCAAGCAUCUUAGGCAGGUAGUCCUCAACAUCAACUUUGCUACUCUUUUUCCUUCCGUAGAAUUUAAUCUUCUCCAUGUCCUCGUUCAGCUUCUUAACCAAGUCAUCUAGAGAUCUUAUCAAGUUAACAGUACUAGUGAUUGAUGAUAUUUUUGAACAAGUAUGAACUUUGAGUUCCUGCCGUAUCCCCUUUCUUUUCAUCACUUCAUAGCCGCAAUCUAAUAUCAGCUUGCUACGUUGGUCUUGACUGUCUUGAUGAUUACCUUGAAGAAUACCGAACGGGAUGUUUAGUCUGAAAAGUGCUUCUGCAGUGUUGACGAAUAAUUGACUCGUGACCAAAAUCCACUUGAGGUGGUUUUCACUUUCUGUUAGUGGUUGUUGGAUGCUCAUAUUUUGAUUUUGUUGUUUC
Molecule: long non-coding RNA, 1827 nt
Filed under: Medicago truncatula (barrel medic)
Lineage: Eukaryota; Viridiplantae; Streptophyta; Magnoliopsida; Fabales; Fabaceae
Description: long non-coding RNA (MTRU_LNC006743)
Source: RNAcentral